Culicoides brevitarsis is the source of this 414-nucleotide long non-coding RNA. RefSeq lists it as uncharacterized. NCBI's taxonomy places the organism in Eukaryota, Metazoa, Arthropoda, Insecta, Diptera, Ceratopogonidae. The record is from RefSeq and is a predicted model, not a curated record. The transcript is spliced from 3 exons.
GCACCAGGUCCACAUCCUGGUUGUCGCCAAAACCGGAUAUGCGGCGGAAAGCAGAACAAAUUUUAUGUCACAUCAAAUAAUCAAGUCGCAAAAGACCUUCAAGUUUAAAGAAAAAAGAAAACAAACAAUCCAAAAACCAACAUGUUGGCUGGAAUUUCUCGCGCUGUAGUCAAAGCUGCCCCAAAAUCGGCGGUCCGCAAUAUCAGUGUUACCGCUGGACCACCAUUGAACCCCCUUACCACAGCUGAAACUGUCGGAUAUGGUAUCUUCAUGUUCUCUGCAUGCAUCUCCUACCCUGUCUGGGUCAUGCUUAACAUCAAGAAGUGGAACAAAAAGGAAGAAUAAAUUUUAAGCAGAUUUCUAGAUCAUUCAAAAAUGUAAACAAAAUACACAAUAAAAGUUCGUUCAAUUGGA